RNAcentral lists this ribosomal RNA (2921 nucleotides) under Staphylococcus aureus. Its description in RNAcentral is "bacterial LSU rRNA". It matches the Rfam family "Bacterial large subunit ribosomal RNA". Lineage: Bacteria; Bacillati; Bacillota; Bacilli; Caryophanales; Staphylococcaceae. The record is from RNAcentral.
UUAAGUUAUUAAGGGCGCACGGUGGAUGCCUUGGCACUAGAAGCCGAUGAAGGACGUUACUAACGACGAUAUGCUUUGGGGAGCUGUAAGUAAGCUUUGAUCCAGAGAUUUCCGAAUGGGGAAACCCAGCAUGAGUUAUGUCAUGUUAUCGAUAUGUGAAUACAUAGCAUAUCAGAAGGCACACCCGGAGAACUGAAACAUCUUAGUACCCGGAGGAAGAGAAAGAAAAUUCGAUUCCCUUAGUAGCGGCGAGCGAAACGGGAAGAGCCCAAACCAACAAGCUUGCUUGUUGGGGUUGUAGGACACUCUAUACGGAGUUACAAAGGACGACAUUAGACGAAUCAUCUGGAAAGAUGAAUCAAAGAAGGUAAUAAUCCUGUAGUCGAAAAUGUUGUCUCCCUUGAGUGGAUCCUGAGUACGACGGAGCACGUGAAAUUCCGUCGGAAUCUGGGAGGACCAUCUCCUAAGGCUAAAUACUCUCUAGUGACCGAUAGUGAACCAGUACCGUGAGGGAAAGGUGAAAAGCACCCCGGAAGGGGAGUGAAAUAGAACCUGAAACCGUGUGCUUACAAGUAGUCAGAGCCCGUUAAUGGGUGAUGGCGUGCCUUUUGUAGAAUGAACCGGCGAGUUACGAUUUGAUGCAAGGUUAAGCAGUAAAUGUGGAGCCGUAGCGAAAGCGAGUCUGAAUAGGGCGUUUAGUAUUUGGUCGUAGACCCGAAACCAGGUGAUCUACCCUUGGUCAGGUUGAAGUUCAGGUAACACUGAAUGGAGGACCGAACCGACUUACGUUGAAAAGUGAGCGGAUGAACUGAGGGUAGCGGAGAAAUUCCAAUCGAACCUGGAGAUAGCUGGUUCUCUCCGAAAUAGCUUUAGGGCUAGCCUCAAGUGAUGAUUAUUGGAGGUAGAGCACUGUUUGGACGAGGGGCCCCUCUCGGGUUACCGAAUUCAGACAAACUCCGAAUGCCAAUUAAUUUAACUUGGGAGUCAGAACAUGGGUGAUAAGGUCCGUGUUCGAAAGGGAAACAGCCCAGACCACCAGCUAAGGUCCCAAAAUAUAUGUUAAGUGGAAAAGGAUGUGGCGUUGCCCAGACAACUAGGAUGUUGGCUUAGAAGCAGCCAUCAUUUAAAGAGUGCGUAAUAGCUCACUAGUCGAGUGACACUGCGCCGAAAAUGUACCGGGGCUAAACAUAUUACCGAAGCUGUGGAUUGUCCUUUGGACAAUGGUAGGAGAGCGUUCUAAGGGCGUUGAAGCAUGAUCGUAAGGACAUGUGGAGCGCUUAGAAGUGAGAAUGCCGGUGUGAGUAGCGAAAGACGGGUGAGAAUCCCGUCCACCGAUUGACUAAGGUUUCCAGAGGAAGGCUCGUCCGCUCUGGGUUAGUCGGGUCCUAAGCUGAGGCCGACAGGCGUAGGCGAUGGAUAACAGGUUGAUAUUCCUGUACCACCUAUAAUCGUUUUAAUCGAUGGGGGGACGCAGUAGGAUAGGCGAAGCGUGCGAUUGGAUUGCACGUCUAAGCAGUAAGGCUGAGUAUUAGGCAAAUCCGGUACUCGUUAAGGCUGAGCUGUGAUGGGGAGAAGACAUUGUGUCUUCGAGUCGUUGAUUUCACACUGCCGAGAAAAGCCUCUAGAUAGAAAAUAGGUGCCCGUACCGCAAACCGACACAGGUAGUCAAGAUGAGAAUUCUAAGGUGAGCGAGCGAACUCUCGUUAAGGAACUCGGCAAAAUGACCCCGUAACUUCGGGAGAAGGGGUGCUCUUUAGGGUUAACGCCCAGAAGAGCCGCAGUGAAUAGGCCCAAGCGACUGUUUAUCAAAAACACAGGUCUCUGCUAAACCGUAAGGUGAUGUAUAGGGGCUGACGCCUGCCCGGUGCUGGAAGGUUAAGAGGAGUGGUUAGCUUCUGCGAAGCUACGAAUCGAAGCCCCAGUAAACGGCGGCCGUAACUAUAACGGUCCUAAGGUAGCGAAAUUCCUUGUCGGGUAAGUUCCGACCCGCACGAAAGGCGUAACGAUUUGGGCACUGUCUCAACGAGAGACUCGGUGAAAUCAUAGUACCUGUGAAGAUGCAGGUUACCCGCGACAGGACGGAAAGACCCCGUGGAGCUUUACUGUAGCCUGAUAUUGAAAUUCGGCACAGCUUGUACAGGAUAGGUAGGAGCCUUUGAAACGUGAGCGCUAGCUUACGUGGAGGCGCUGGUGGGAUACUACCCUAGCUGUGUUGGCUUUCUAACCCGCACCACUUAUCGUGGUGGGAGACAGUGUCAGGCGGGCAGUUUGACUGGGGCGGUCGCCUCCUAAAAGGUAACGGAGGCGCUCAAAGGUUCCCUCAGAAUGGUUGGAAAUCAUUCAUAGAGUGUAAAGGCAUAAGGGAGCUUGACUGCGAGACCUACAAGUCGAGCAGGGUCGAAAGACGGACUUAGUGAUCCGGUGGUUCCGCAUGGAAGGGCCAUCGCUCAACGGAUAAAAGCUACCCCGGGGAUAACAGGCUUAUCUCCCCCAAGAGUUCACAUCGACGGGGAGGUUUGGCACCUCGAUGUCGGCUCAUCGCAUCCUGGGGCUGUAGUCGGUCCCAAGGGUUGGGCUGUUCGCCCAUUAAAGCGGUACGCGAGCUGGGUUCAGAACGUCGUGAGACAGUUCGGUCCCUAUCCGUCGUGGGCGUAGGAAAUUUGAGAGGAGCUGUCCUUAGUACGAGAGGACCGGGAUGGACAUACCUCUGGUGUACCAGUUGUCGUGCCAACGGCAUAGCUGGGUAGCUAUGUGUGGACGGGAUAAGUGCUGAAAGCAUCUAAGCAUGAAGCCCCCCUCAAGAUGAGAUUUCCCAACUUCGGUUAUAAGAUCCCUCAAAGAUGAUGAGGUUAAUAGGUUCGAGGUGGAAGCAUGGUGACAUGUGGAGCUGACGAAUACUAAUCGAUCGAAGACUUAAUCAA